GUGUGUGUGUACAGUGUGUGUGUGUACGGUGUGUGUAUGUUUGGUGUCUGUCUGUCAUUACAGCAACUAUGGUCCUACAGUAGUGAGAGCUGUCUGUCAUUACAGUACAGUAUGGUUCUAUUGUAGUGAGAGCUGUCUGCCAUUACAGUACACUAUGGUCCUACAGUAGUGAGAGCAGUCUGUCAUUACAGUACACUAUGGUCCCAGUCAGUAGUGAGAGCUGUCUGUCAUUACAGCAACUAUGGUCCUACAGUAGUGAGAGCUGUCUGUCAUUACAGUACAGUAUGGUUCUAUUGUAGUGAGAGCUGUCUGCCAUUACAGUACACUAUGGUCCUACAGUAGUGAGAGCGGUCUGUCAUUACAGUACACUAUGGUCCCAGUCAGUAGUGAGAGCUGUCUGUCAUUACAUACACUAUGGUCCUACAGUAGUGAGAGCUGUCUGUCAUUACAGCAACUAUG
Oncorhynchus tshawytscha (Chinook salmon) is the source of this 459-nucleotide long non-coding RNA. NCBI's taxonomy places the organism in Eukaryota, Metazoa, Chordata, Actinopteri, Salmoniformes, Salmonidae. The record is from Ensembl.